CUGCACAAUGUGCACAUGUACCCUAAAACUUAAAGUAUAAUAAAAAAAAGAUAUUUUAAAUAUAUAGUUUGUAUCAUUGAUCCCACUUUGUUACAGGUAAUUUAUUCUAUUAUUUUAAUGGACAAAAAUGGCAUAUUUUCAUUGCAGUUGUAGAAGUACAUGAUCUUGCUUUCUUAAAGGAUCCUACAGGACAUUCAAUCAUCACGUCUCCUUAGGCCCCUCUCAACUGUGGCAGUUUCUCAGACUUCGUUGUUUUUGCUCUUUCUCUUUCACGUGGGGAGAGUGUGGAACGGCUCAGUUUCUCCAGCAAGGAAUCCUCCUGUCCUGUCUAAAAGGCAACCUGCAUCCUAGGAGCAAAGAGAGGGAAAAGCACUGAGGAGUACGGCCAUGCCAUAGGCAGAUUUGCAAUUAAUUCUCUCGCUUGCAGCCCUAUGACUAAUUCUGGGCCAGGCCGUGCAUAUUGUCUCCAAAUCCUGAGGCUCUUGCCUCCCAUUCUCCAAAGAAUAAUCAGCCUCCUGCCUGGGGGGGUGAUUACACAGCUGCUAGGGUUCUAUGCCUGAGCCGUAAGUGAGGUACACAGACUGUUUCCCAUGUUAACAUAUUCUUCAGUUUAUUCCCACACUCUCUGCUGUACUGGAUUCCUCAGUUUCGGAGCUUCUCCAGGAGUCUACAGGACUAACUUAUUGUCUCCUUGUUAGUACCAACUUCUUGCUUGUCCUUUAAGAUAUGAUAUCCUCAAUCUGGUUAUAUCAGACACCUUUCCUACAUUCCUUUCCUGUCUUUUGAAAUAUGAUUGAAAUAUUUCAUCAAUUAAUGUCUUCUCUCCUAUUCUCUUUGUACUUGCAAGCUUAAGCCUCUUUUAUCUUUUCAAAUAUUUUAGCAGGCUCUCUGAAAGGAGAGGCUAUAAACUUCUAUGUCUAUUCUUCUAUCUUUAAAUUCAACAAGAGGCAGAACACUUUCAUGGUUAAGUUAGGCCUGCAUUUAAAUCCUGCCUCUGUCACAUACUUUUCUAAGACUUAGAAAUUUGCUAACCUCUGGAAACCUUGACCUCCUUUCUGUAAAAUGAGAACCUACCUCAUUGGGUUGUUGUGAGGAUCAAAUAAAAUAUGUAUGGUUGGCACGUA
This 1124-nucleotide long non-coding RNA is filed under the name Homo sapiens (human). RNAcentral's name for it is "HSALNT0336272". The record is from RNAcentral. Lineage: Eukaryota; Metazoa; Chordata; Mammalia; Primates; Hominidae.